This 212-nucleotide long non-coding RNA is filed under the name Elaeis guineensis (African oil palm). Its description in RNAcentral is "long non-coding RNA (EGUI_LNC028339)". The record is from RNAcentral. Lineage: Eukaryota; Viridiplantae; Streptophyta; Magnoliopsida; Arecales; Arecaceae.
AACCCGAAGAUAUAGAAGGCCUCAUCGAUGCUGUCACCGUCAGAGCUUCGCCGACUUCUCCUUCUUGUACUGAUUCUCAUCACAGCCGGCAAUGCGGCAACGGUAGCGGAGCUGCUAGAGUUUCAAGAGGCCCCAGCCUUCCAUAGCGAUCGGGAUGCAGCAGUGCCACUGCCCCACUAUCCACAUUGCCAUGACCCUCGAUGCUACCUACC